This is a non-coding RNA of Megalops atlanticus (tarpon), 74 nucleotides long. Lineage: Eukaryota; Metazoa; Chordata; Actinopteri; Elopiformes; Megalopidae. The record is from the annotation of a GenBank genome assembly.
GAGUGUAGUGGCACAGUGGAUUACAUGUCUGACUAAGGAUCAGGAGAUUCUAGGUUAAACUCCUGGCUGGCUCA